UAGGGAAUCUUCCACAAUGGACGCAAGUCUGAUGGAGCAACGCCGCGUGAGUGAAGAAGGUUUUCGGAUUGUAAAGCUCUGUUGUUGGUGAAGAAGGAUAGAGGCAGUAACUGGUCUUUAUUUGACGGUAAUCAACCAGAAAGUCACGGCUAACUACGUGCCAGCAGCCGCGGUAAUACGUAGGUGGCAAGCGUUGUCCGGAUUUAUUGGGCGUAAAGCGAGCGCAGGCGGAAUGAUAAGCCUGAUGUGAAAGCCCACGGCUCAACCGUGGAGCUGCAUCGGAAACUGUCAUUCUUGAGUGCAGAGGAGGAGAAUGGAAUUCCAUGUGUAGCGGUGGAAUGCGUAGAUGUAUGGGAGGACACCAGUGGCGAAGGCGGCUCUCUGGUCUGCAACUGACGCUGAGGCUCGAAAGCAUGGGUGGCGAACAGG
Molecule: ribosomal RNA, 429 nt
Filed under: bacterium
Lineage: Bacteria
Description: partial 16S ribosomal RNA
Rfam family: Bacterial small subunit ribosomal RNA
Source: RNAcentral